GAUGAACGCUGGCGGCGUGCCUAAUACAUGCCAGUCGAGCGAACGGACGAGAAGCUUGCUUCUCUGAUGUUAGCGGCGGACGGGUGAGUAACACGUGGAUAACCUACCUAUAAGACUGAGAUAACUUCGGGAAACCGGAGCUAAUCCCGGAUAAUAUUUUGCACCGCAUGGUUCAAAAGUGAAAGACGGUCUUGCUGUCACUUAUAGAUGGAUCCGCGCUGCAUUAGCUAGUUGGUAAGGUAACGGCUUACCAAGGCAACGAUGCAUAGCCGACCUGAGAGGGUGAUCGGCCACACUGGAACUGAGACACGGUCCAGACUCCUACGGGAGGCAGCAGUAGGGAAUCUUCCGCAAUGGGCGAAAGCCUGACGGAGCAACGCCGCGUGAGUGAUGAAGGUCUUCGGAUCGUAAAACUCUGUUAUUAGGGAAGAACAUAUGUGUAAGUAACUGUGCACAUCUUGACGGUACCUAAUCAGAAAGCCACGGCUAACUACGUG
This 497-nucleotide ribosomal RNA is filed under the name uncultured bacterium. RNAcentral's name for it is "partial 16S ribosomal RNA". It matches the Rfam family "Bacterial small subunit ribosomal RNA", at positions 28 to 507 of the family's 1533-position model. The record is from RNAcentral.